Molecule: ribosomal RNA, 253 nt
Filed under: uncultured bacterium
Lineage: Bacteria
Description: partial 16S ribosomal RNA
Rfam family: Bacterial small subunit ribosomal RNA
Source: RNAcentral
UACGUAGGGACCAAGCGUUGUUCGGAUUUACUGGGCGUAAAGGGCGCGUAGGCGGCGUGUCAAGUCAAUUGUGAAAUCUCCGGGCUUAACUCGGAACGGUCAAUUGAUACUGAUGUGCUAGAGUGCAGAAGGGGCAAUCGGAAUUCUUGGUGUAGCGGUGAAAUGCGUAGAUAUCAAGAGGAACACCUGCGGCGAAGGCGGGUUGCUGGGCUGAUACUGACGCUGAGGCGCGAAAGCCAGGGGAGCGAACGGG